GUAAAGGCAUAUUGUGCACAGUAGAUUUGCAGUACUGCACAUGCCUCAAUAGCCCAGGGACAGUGCCCCCUUCUGCUGCCAGAUUUGACUGCAAUAUCAGUGAGACAAAAGGAGUAACAAACACUGAAAGCAAUCUGCACCAGACAGCUACAAGCUAAUAUAAAUGUGCUCAGAAGAAAAGACCUCUGGCUGAAGAGAAGAAACCAAAAAAAAUUAAUGAAGCUGGUGUAAAAUUCUGCAGACGUAAAAGGAUACAAUCACCAUUGGCUUGUCAUGGAGUACAUAUCCAUGUACAUGUUUUAAAGCCUGUGCUGCUACGUUUUCAGUGGGAAAUCCUAUGAAGGCUUGGCCCUUCAUCCGUCCUUCUUUCAUCAGUCGAAUAUCAAACCUACAUACAGACACAAAAGGCAUUGUUAAGAAGUCUGUCUAUGUCAAAAUACCACUCUCUGUAACAGGAAACCGUGACAUGAAUGAAUUUCUGUGUGUAACCAAAAAAAGCAA
This is a long non-coding RNA of Xenopus laevis (African clawed frog), 501 nucleotides long. RefSeq lists it as uncharacterized. The transcript is spliced from 3 exons. NCBI's taxonomy places the organism in Eukaryota, Metazoa, Chordata, Amphibia, Anura, Pipidae. The record is from RefSeq and is a predicted model, not a curated record.